AGGUAAAACAAGAUGGGAAGGAGUAGGUCAAAGGGUACAAAGUUCCAAUUACACAAGUUAAAGAAGUCCUACUUCUGACACAUUCUUCAUGGUGCAGUGAGGCUCUGGUGAGGUGUGUAACACCCUGGAAAGCCCUGAAGAAAGGACUGGAUUCAUACAGACGAGGCUAAAUGUCAUACAGAAGUUCCUCCUCCGAUGCACAGGGACACCUUCUCCUACAGAGCAGUUCCUGAACACUGAUGGGUCAUGUGCACUUCAGGGCCUUUCCUCAGGUCACCCACAAGGUCUGCAGUCUAGCCAACAGGAUGUAGACUAUAUAUGGAGAUGAGUCUACUGCCUCAUUAAGUCAGUGUAAUGGACAUAUCCAUGUCAAAACCAACACGGCUGGUCUGCCCUGGCGGAUGGAGUCGCCCCAGCAUGAUGGCUCCCCUGUUCUGGUCCAUUACCACUGGCUUUUGUGUAUAACAGCAGGAGGCUCUCUAUUUCCCUGAUCAUUCUGGAUGAAAAUGGCUGUGCUAUUCUCCAACUCGGCCACAUAAAGCACAAAUAAAGAAUCUUGUUUAAACUGUA
Molecule: non-coding RNA, 570 nt
Organism: Oryctolagus cuniculus (rabbit)
Lineage: Eukaryota; Metazoa; Chordata; Mammalia; Lagomorpha; Leporidae
Source: RefSeq, a predicted model, not a curated record